AGAGUUUGAUCAUGGCUCAGAUUGAACGCUGGCGGCAGGCCUAACACAUGCAAGUCGAACGGUAACAGGAAGCAGCUUGCUGCUUUGCUGACGAGUGGCGGACGGGUGAGUAAUGUCUGGGAAACUGCCUGAUGGAGGGGGAUAACUACUGGAAACGGUAGCUAAUACCGCAUAACGUCGCAAGACCAAAGAGGGGGACCUUAGGGCCUCUUGCCAUCGGAUGUGCCCAGAUGGGAUUAGCUAGUAGGUGGGGUAACGGCUCACCUAGGCGACGAUCCCUAGCUGGUCUGAGAGGAUGACCAGCCACACUGGAACUGAGACACGGUCCAGACUCCUACGGGAGGCAGCAGUGGGGAAUAUUGCACAAUGGGCGCAAGCCUGAUGCAGCCAUGCCGCGUGUAUGAAGAAGGCCUUCGGGUUGUAAAGUACUUUCAGCGGGGAGGAAGGGAGUAAAGUUAAUACCUUUUGCUCAUUGACGUUACCCGGAGAAGAAGCACCGGUUAACUCCGUGCCAGCA
This 517-nucleotide ribosomal RNA is filed under the name uncultured bacterium. Its description in RNAcentral is "bacterial SSU rRNA". It matches the Rfam family "Bacterial small subunit ribosomal RNA", at positions 8 to 513 of the family's 1533-position model. The record is from RNAcentral.